CCUACGGGGGGCAGCAGUGGGGAAUAUUGGACAAUGGGGGCAACCCUGAUCCAGCCAUGCCGCGUGUGUGAAGAAGGCCCUCGGGUUGUAAAGCACUUUCAGUGAGGAAGAACGCCUGGUGGUUAAUACCCAUCAGGAAAGACAUCACUCACAGAAGAAGCACCGGCUAACUCCGUGCCAGCAGCCGCGGUAAUACGGAGGGUGCGAGCGUUAAUCGGAAUUACUGGGCGUAAAGCGCGCGUAGGUGGCUUGAUAAGCCGGUUGUGAAAGCCCCGGGCUCAACCUGGGAACGGCAUCCGGAACUGUCAAGCUAGAGUGCAGGAGAGGAAGGUAGAAUUCCCGGUGUAGCGGUGAAAUGCGUAGAGAUCGGGAGGAAUACCAGAGGCGAAGGCGGCCUUCUGGACUGACACUGACACUGAGGUGCGAAAGCGUGGGUAGCAAACAGGAUUAGAUACCCCAGUAGUC
Molecule: ribosomal RNA, 465 nt
Filed under: Vreelandella stevensii
Lineage: Bacteria; Pseudomonadati; Pseudomonadota; Gammaproteobacteria; Oceanospirillales; Halomonadaceae
Description: partial 16S ribosomal RNA
Rfam family: Bacterial small subunit ribosomal RNA
Source: RNAcentral